UACGAAGGGGGCUAGCGUUGCUCGGAAUCACUGGGCGUAAAGCGCACGUAGGCGGAUCUUUAAGUCAGGGGUGAAAUCCUGGAGCUCAACUCCAGAACUGCCUUUGAUACUGAGGAUCUUGAGUCCGGGAGAGGUGAGUGGAACUCCGAGUGUAGAGGUGAAAUUCGUAGAUAUCUGGAGGAACACCGGUGGCGAAGGCGGCAUCCUGGACCAACACUGACACUGAGGAGCGAAAGCCAGGGGAGCAAACGGG
Molecule: ribosomal RNA, 253 nt
Filed under: uncultured bacterium
Lineage: Bacteria
Description: partial 16S ribosomal RNA
Rfam family: Bacterial small subunit ribosomal RNA
Source: RNAcentral